UUCCGGUUGAUCCCGCCGGACCUGACUGCUAUCGGAUUGAUACUAAGCCAUGCGAGUUUUUGUAGUAAUACAAGGCAGACGGCUCAGUAACACGUAGUCAAUCUAACCUAUGGACGAGGAUAACCUCGGGAAACUGAGAAUAAUACUCGAUAGAUCAUUAUGCCUGGAACGGUUUAUGGUUCAAAUGAAUUUCGCCAUAGGAUGGGACUGCGGUCUAUCAGCUUGUUGGUGAGGUAAUGGCCCACCAAGGCUAUUACAGAUACGGGCUCUGAGAGGAGAAGCCCGGAGAUGGGUACUGAGACACGGACCCAGGCCCUAUGGGGCGCAGCAGGCGAGAAAACUUUGCAAUGUGCGAAAGCACGACAAGGUUAAUCCGAGUGAUUCCUGCUAAAGGAAUCUUUUGUUAGUCAUAAUACCACUAAUGAAUAAGGGGUGGGCAAGUUCUGGUGUCAGCCGCCGCGGUAAAACCAGCACCUCAAGUGGUCAGGAUGAUUAUUGGGCCUAAAGCAUCCGUAGCCGGCUUUGUAAGUUUUCGGUUAAAUCUAUAUGCUCAACAUAUAGGCUGCCGGGAAUACUGCAAAGCUAGGGAGUGGGAGAGGUAGACGGUACUCCGUAGGAAGGGGUAAAAUCCUUUGAUCUAUGGAUGACCACCUGUGGCGAAGGCGGUCUACCAGAACACGUUCGACGGUGAGGGAUGAAAGCUGGGGGAGCAAACCGGAUUAGAUACCCGGGUAGUCCCAGCUGUAAACUAUGCAAACUCAGUGAUGCAUUGGCUUGUGGCCAGUGCAGUGCCGCAGGGAAGCCGUUAAGUUUGCCGCCUGGGAAGUACGUACGCAAGUAUGAAACUUAAAGGAAUUGGCGGGGGAGCACCACAAGGGGUGAAGCCUGCGGUUUAAUUGGAUUCAACGCCGGGA
RNAcentral lists this ribosomal RNA (914 nucleotides) under uncultured archaeon. Its description in RNAcentral is "bacterial SSU rRNA". It matches the Rfam family "Archaeal small subunit ribosomal RNA", at positions 1 to 923 of the family's 1478-position model. The record is from RNAcentral.